UCUGGUGGAUACACAGUCAACCAUGGAGACAAACGAGGAAAUAUCAUUUGUCUGCAGAAGGCAACAAUUCUACAUACACGUGAGGUCUCCGAUCAUUACUUUCCAUACAAC
RNAcentral lists this non-coding RNA (111 nucleotides) under Microtus ochrogaster (prairie vole). The record is from RNAcentral. Lineage: Eukaryota; Metazoa; Chordata; Mammalia; Rodentia; Cricetidae.